RNAcentral lists this ribosomal RNA (476 nucleotides) under Symbiodinium sp. clade D. RNAcentral's name for it is "partial Bacterial large subunit ribosomal RNA". It matches the Rfam family "Bacterial large subunit ribosomal RNA", at positions 1471 to 1961 of the family's 2925-position model. Lineage: Eukaryota; Dinophyceae; Suessiales; Symbiodiniaceae. The record is from RNAcentral.
GACGGAGAAGGCUAAGCUGGCCGGAUAUUGGUUACCGGUUUAAGCGUUCGAGGUGUUGAGAAACGGAGAAAACGUUUUGAGCUGAGACGUGAGUACGAGACGCUACGGCGUCGAAGUAGUGUAUGUCAUACUUCCAAGAAAAGCUCGCACUGUCAUAGGUAAAAAAUGCCUGUACCAUAACCGACACAGGUGGGUAGGUAGAGUAUACUAAGGGGCGCGAGAUAACUCUCUCUAAGGAACUCGGCAAAAUGACUCCGUAACUUCGGGAGAAGGAGUGCCUUAUUUAUAAGGUUGCAAUAACAAGAUCCAAGCAACUGUUUACCAAAAACACAGGUCUCCGCUAAGUCGUAAGACGAUGUAUGGGGGCUGACGCCUGCCCAGUGCCAGAAGGUUAAAGAAGUUGGUUAGCAUUCGCGAAGCUGAUAACUGAAGCCCUGGUGAACGGCGGCCGUAACUAUAACGGUCCUAAGGUAGCG